Molecule: ribosomal RNA, 491 nt
Filed under: uncultured eukaryote
Lineage: Eukaryota
Description: partial 18S ribosomal RNA
Rfam family: Eukaryotic small subunit ribosomal RNA
Source: RNAcentral
GACAAAAAAUACUAAUGUAUUAAAUUUUAUUUAGUACAAUUGGAAUGGAAACAAUCCAAAACCCUUAUUGAGUAACAAUUAGAGGGCAAGUCUGGUGCCAGCAGCCGCGGUAAUUCCAGCUCUAAUAGCGUAUAUUAAUACUGUUGCAGUUAAAACGCUCGUAGUUGAACUUAGAAUUAUUACAAGUUUGGUUUAAUUGAUUUUAAACUGCUUGCUUAAUUCUUAUCUACUAGAUACUCUAUUCUGUACUUAAUUGUAUGGAAUAUCACCUAGCCAGUGGAACUUUUGGUUGAAUAAUGCCUUUUUUAAUACCAGAGUGUAAAAACUUGAAGUGUUAAAUUGGGAUAACAUUAUUUUAUUGAAGUGGGGUUCUAGUUAAUUUACUUUGAGUAAAAUUAGAGUGUUCAAAGCAGCCUCUUGGGGCUUUGAAUAGAUUUAGCAUGGGAUAAUAGAAUAGGAUUUGAUAAUCUAUUUGUUGGUUUGAAUUAAUC